AUUGAACGCUGGCGGAAUGCUUUACACAUGCAAGUCGAACGGCAGCACGGGGGCAACCCUGGUGGCGAGUGGCGAACGGGUGAGUAAUACAUCGGAACGUGCCCAGUCGUGGGGGAUAACGUAGCGAAAGCUACGCUAAUACCGCAUACGAUCUACGGAUGAAAGCGGGGGAUCGCAAGACCUCGCGCGAUUGGAGCGGCCGAUGGCAGAUUAGGUAGUCGGUGAGGUAAAGGCUCACCAAGCCGACGAUCUGUAGCUGGUCUGAGAGGACGACCAGCCACACUGGGACUGAGACACGGCCCAGACUCCUACGGGAGGCAGCAGUGGGGAAUUUUGGACAAUGGGCGCAAGCCUGAUCCAGCCAUUCCGCGUGCAGGAUGAAGGCCCUCGGGUUGUAAACUGCUUUUGUACGGAACGAAACGGCUCUCUCUAAUACAGGGGGCUAAUGACGGUACCGUAAGAAUAAGCACCGGCUAACUACGUGCCAGCCGCCGCCGUAACAC
This 503-nucleotide ribosomal RNA is filed under the name uncultured bacterium. RNAcentral describes it as "bacterial SSU rRNA". It matches the Rfam family "Bacterial small subunit ribosomal RNA", at positions 29 to 526 of the family's 1533-position model. The record is from RNAcentral.